Molecule: ribosomal RNA, 250 nt
Filed under: uncultured bacterium
Lineage: Bacteria
Description: partial 16S ribosomal RNA
Rfam family: Bacterial small subunit ribosomal RNA
Source: RNAcentral
UACAGAGGGUGCAAGCGUUGUUCGGAUUUACUGGGCGUAAAGCGUGCGUAGGCGGUAUUGAGAGUCAUAGGUGAAAUCCCAGGGCUUAACCCUGGAACUGCCCGUGAGACCUCAGUACUAGAGUGUGAGAGGGGAUGGUGGAAUUCCAAGUGUAGCGGUGAAAUGCGUAGAGAUUUGGAGGAACACCGGUGGCGAAGGCGACCAUCUGGCUCACAACUGACGCUCAGGCACGAAAGCAUGGGUAGCAAAC